GGGUGUUGGAAAGAUUUAUCGGUUUUGGAUGGACUCGCGGCCUAUCAGCUUGUUGGUGAGGUAAUGGCUCACCAAGGCGACGACGGGUAGCCGGCCUGAGAGGGUGACCGGCCACACUGGGACUGAGACACGGCCCAGACUCCUACGGGAGGCAGCAGUGGGGAAUAUUGCACAAUGGGCGAAAGCCUGAUGCAGCGACGCCGCGUGAGGGAUGACGGCCUUCGGGUUGUAAACCUCUUUCAGUAGGGAAGAAGCGAAAGUGACGGUACCUACAGAAGAAGCACCGGCUAACUACGUGCCAGCAGCCGCGGUAAUACGUAGGGUGCGAGCGUUAUCCGGAAUUAUUGGGCGUAAAGAGCUCGUAGGCGGUUUGUCGCGUCUGUCGUGAAAGUCCGGGGCUUAACCCCGGAUCUGCGGUGGGUACGGGCAGACUAGAGUGCAGUAGGGGAGACUGGAAUUCCUGGUGUAGCGGUGGAAUGCGCAGAUAUCAGGAGGAACACCGAUGGCGAAGGCAGGUCUCUGGGCUGUAACUGACGCUGAGGAGCGAAAGCAUGGGGAGCGAACAGGAUUAGAUACCCUGGUAGUCCAUGCCGUAAACGUUGGGCACUAGGUGUGGGGACCAUUCCACGGUUUCCGCGCCGCAGCUAACGCAUUAAGUGCCCCGCCUGGGGAGUACGGCCGCAAGGCUAAAACUCAAAGGAAUUGACGGGGGCCCGCACAAGCGGCGGAGCAUGCGGAUUAAUUCGAUGCAACGCGAAGAACCUUACCAAGGCUUGACAUGUUCUCGAUCGCCGUAGAGAUACGGUUUCCCCUUUGGGGCGGGUUCACAGGUGGUGCAUGGUUGUCGUCAGCUCGUGUCGUGAGAUGUUGGGUUAAGUCCCGCAACGAGCGCAACCCUCGUUCCAUGUUGCCAGCACGUAAUGGUGGGGACUCAUGGGAGACUGCCGGGGUCAACUCGGAGGAAGGUGAGGACGACGUCAAAUCAUCAUGCCCCUUAUGUCUUGGGCUUCACGCAUGCUACAAUGGCCGGUACAAUGGGUUGCGAUACUG
This 1050-nucleotide ribosomal RNA is filed under the name Micrococcus sp. RNAcentral describes it as "bacterial SSU rRNA". It matches the Rfam family "Bacterial small subunit ribosomal RNA", at positions 194 to 1257 of the family's 1533-position model. The record is from RNAcentral. Lineage: Bacteria; Bacillati; Actinomycetota; Actinomycetes; Micrococcales; Micrococcaceae.